This 119-nucleotide ribosomal RNA is filed under the name Helianthus annuus (common sunflower). The record is from RNAcentral. Lineage: Eukaryota; Viridiplantae; Streptophyta; Magnoliopsida; Asterales; Asteraceae.
GGUUGCGAUCAUACCAGCACUAAUGCACCGGAUCCCAUCAGAACUCCGCAGUUAAGCGUGCUUGGGCGAGAGUAGUACAAGGAUGGGUGACCCCCUGGGAAGUCCUCGUGUUGCAACCC